Molecule: ribosomal RNA, 421 nt
Filed under: uncultured bacterium
Lineage: Bacteria
Description: partial 16S ribosomal RNA
Rfam family: Bacterial small subunit ribosomal RNA
Source: RNAcentral
AAUAUUUGAAAAUGGGCGAAAGCCUGAUCCAGCCAUGCCGCGUGUGUGAAGAAGGUCAUAGGAUUGUACCGCACUUUAAGUUGAGAGGAAGGGUUGUAGAUUAAUACUCUGCAAUUUUGACGUUACCAACAGAAUAAGCACCGGCUAACUUCGUGCCAGCAGCCGCGGUAAUACGAAGGGUGCAAGCGUUAAUCGGAAUUACUGGGCGUAAAGCGCGCGUAGGUGGUUUGUCAAGUUGGAAGUGAAAGCCCCGGGCUCAACCUGGGAACUGCUUUCAUAACUGCUGAGCUAGAGUACGGUAGAGGGUAGUGGAAUUUCCUGUGUAGCGGUGAAAUGCGUAGAUAUAGGAAGGAACACCAGUGGCGAAGGCGACUACCUGGACUGAUACUGACACUGAGGUGCGAAAGCGUGGGGAGCAAAC